ACUGCUGACUUGAGUAGCCCAUGUACUAAAUUGGAACAACACAGAGAAGAUUAGCAUGGCCCCUGCUCAAAGAUGACAGAUAUUUGUGAAGUGAUCCAUAUUUCU
Small nuclear RNA from Mustela putorius furo (domestic ferret), 105 nucleotides. The record is from Ensembl. Lineage: Eukaryota; Metazoa; Chordata; Mammalia; Carnivora; Mustelidae.